Molecule: ribosomal RNA, 1130 nt
Filed under: uncultured organism
Description: bacterial SSU rRNA
Rfam family: Bacterial small subunit ribosomal RNA
Source: RNAcentral
GGGCUUGCGGACCAUUAGCUAGUUGGUGAGGUAACGGCUCACCAAGGCUACGAUGGAUAGCCGGCCUAAGAGGGUGAUCGGCCACAUUGGGACUGAGAGACGGCCCAGACUCCUACGGGAGGCAGCAGUAGGGAAUUUUGCGCAAUGGACGAAAGUCUGACGCAGCAACGCCGCGUGAGGGAUGACGGCCUUCGGGUUGUAAACCUCUGUUGAGUGGGAAGAAAAGCUUUGUGGUUAAUAUCCACAGAGUCUGACGGUACCACUCGAGGAAGCUCCGGCUAACUACGUGCCAGCAGCCGCGGUAAUACGUAGGGGGCUAGCGUUGUUCGGAAUCACUGGGCGUAAAGGGAGUGUAGGCGGACCGGUAAGUUAGGAGUUAAAUGUACGGGCUCAACCCGUGAUCUGCUUUUAAUACUGUCGGUCUUGAGUAUGGGAGAGGGAGAUGGAAUUCCAGGUGUAGCGGUGGAAUGCGUAGAUAUCUGGAAGAACACCAGUUGCGAAGGCGGUCUCCUGGACCAAUACUGACGCUGAUGCUCGAAAGCUGGGGGAGCGAACAGGAUUAGAUACCCUGGUAGUCCCAGCCGUAAACGAUGGACACUAGUUGCCGGAGGAGUCAAUCCCUUCGGUGACGAAGCUAACGCAUUAAGUGUCCCCGCCUGGUGAGUACGCUCGCAAGGGUGAAACUCAAAGGAAUUGUCCGGGGGCCCGCACAAGCGGUGGAGCAUGUGCUNUAAUUCGAUGGCAACGCGAAGAACCUUACCUGGGUUUGACAUGGGGGUGAAAGUUUCCAGAGAUGGAAGCCUUUCCUUCGGGAACACCCCACACAGGUGCUGCAUGGUUGUCGUCAGCUCGUGUCGUGAGAUGUUGGGUUAAGUCCCGCAACGAGCGCAACCCCUGCCCUUAGUUGCCAUCAGGUAAAGCUGGGAACUCUAAGGGGACAGCUUGGUAUAACCAGGAGCAAGGUGGGGAUGACGUCAAAUCAUCAUGGCUCUUACGCCCAGGGCUAGACACGUGCUACAAUGGCAGGUACAGUGGGAUGCCAACCUGCGAAGGUGAGCUAAUCCACUUAAACCUGUCUCAGUCCGGAUUGGAGUCUGCAACUCGACUCCAUGAAGUUGGAAUCGCUAGUA